GGGUUGUGAGGUUAAGCGACUAAGCGUACACGGUGGAUGCCCUGGCAGUCAGAGGCGAUGAAGGACGUGCUAAUCUGCGAUAAGCGUCGGUAAGGUGAUAUGAACCGUUAUAACCGGCGAUUUCCGAAUGGGGAAACCCAGUGUGAUUCGUCACACUAUCAUUAACUGAAUCCAUAGGUUAAUGAGGCGAACCGGGGGAACUGAAACAUCUAAGUACCCCGAGGAAAAGAAAUCAACCGAGAUUCCCCCAGUAGCGGCGAGCGAACGGGGAGGAGCCCAGAGCCUGAAUCAGUGUGUGUGUUAGUGGAAGCGUCUGGAAAGGCGCGCGAUACAGGGUGACAGCCCCGUACACAAAAAUGCACAUGCUGUGAGCUCGAUGAGUAGGGCGGGACACGUGGUAUCCUGUCUGAAUAUGGGGGACCAUCCUCCAAGGCUAAAUACUCCUGACUGACCGAUAGUGAACCAGUACCGUGAGGGAAAGGCGAAAAGAACCCCGGCGAGGGGAGUGAAAAAGAACCUGAAACCGUGUACGUACAAGCAGUGGGAGCACAGAGCAAUCUGUGUGACUGCGUACCUUUUGUAUAAUGGGUCAGCGACUUAUAUUCUGUAGCAAGGUUAACCGAAUAGGGGAGCCGAAGGGAAACCGAGUCUUAACUGGGCGUUAAGUUGCAGGGUAUAGACCCGAAACCCGGUGAUCUAGCCAUGGGCAGGUUGAAGGUUGGGUAACACUAACUGGAGGACCGAACCGACUAAUGUUGAAAAAUUAGCGGAUGACUUGUGGCUGGGGGUGAAAGGCCAAUCAAACCGGGAGAUAGCUGGUUCUCCCCGAAAGCUAUUUAGGUAGCGCCUCGUGAAUUCAUCUCCGGGGGUAGAGCACUGUUUCGGCAAGGGGGUCAUCCCGACUUACCAACCCGAUGCAAACUGCGAAUACCGGAGAAUGUUAUCACGGGAGACACACGGCGGGUGCUAACGUCCGUCGUGAAGAGGGAAACAACCCAGACCGCCAGCUAAGGUCCCAAAGUCAUGGUUAAGUGGGAAACGAUGUGGGAAGGCCCAGACAGCCAGGAUGUUGGCUUAGAAGCAGCCAUCAUUUAAAGAAAGCGUAAUAGCUCACUGGUCGAGUCGGCCUGCGCGGAAGAUGUAACGGGGCUAAACCAUGCACCGAAGCUGCGGCAGCGACACUGUGUGUUGUUGGGUAGGGGAGCGUUCUGUAAGCCUGUGAAGGUGUGCUGUGAGGCAUGCUGGAGGUAUCAGAAGUGCGAAUGCUGACAUAAGUAACGAUAAAGCGGGUGAAAAGCCCGCUCGCCGGAAGACCAAGGGUUCCUGUCCAACGUUAAUCGGGGCAGGGUGAGUCGACCCCUAAGGCGAGGCCGAAAGGCGUAGUCGAUGGGAAACAGGUUAAUAUUCCUGUACUUGGUGUUACUGCGAAGGGGGGACGGAGAAGGCUAUGUUGGCCGGGCGACGGUUGUCCCGGUUUAAGCGUGUAGGCUGGUUUUCCAGGCAAAUCCGGAAAAUCAAGGCUGAGGCGUGAUGACGAGGCACUACGGUGCUGAAGCAACAAAUGCCCUGCUUCCAGGAAAAGCCUCUAAGCAUCAGGUAACAUCAAAUCGUACCCCAAACCGACACAGGUGGUCAGGUAGAGAAUACCAAGGCGCUUGAGAGAACUCGGGUGAAGGAACUAGGCAAAAUGGUGCCGUAACUUCGGGAGAAGGCACGCUGAUAUGUAGGUGAAGUCCCUCGCGGAUGGAGCUGAAAUCAGUCGAAGAUACCAGCUGGCUGCAACUGUUUAUUAAAAACACAGCACUGUGCAAACACGAAAGUGGACGUAUACGGUGUGACGCCUGCCCGGUGCCGGAAGGUUAAUUGAUGGGGUCAGCGCAAGCGAAGCUCUUGAUCGAAGCCCCGGUAAACGGCGGCCGUAACUAUAACGGUCCUAAGGUAGCGAAAUUCCUUGUCGGGUAAGUUCCGACCUGCACGAAUGGCGUAAUGAUGGCCAGGCUGUCUCCACCCGAGACUCAGUGAAAUUGAACUCGCUGUGAAGAUGCAGUGUACCCGCGGCAAGACGGAAAGACCCCGUGAACCUUUACUAUAGCUUGACACUGAACAUUGAGCCUUGAUGUGUAGGAUAGGUGGGAGGCUUUGAAGUGUGGACGCCAGUCUGCAUGGAGCCGACCUUGAAAUACCACCCUUUAAUGUUUGAUGUUCUAACGUGGACCCGUGAUCCGGGUUGCGGACAGUGUCUGGUGGGUAGUUUGACUGGGGCGGUCUCCUCCUAAAGAGUAACGGAGGAGCACGAAGGUUGGCUAAUCCUGGUCGGACAUCAGGAGGUUAGUGCAAUGGCAUAAGCCAGCUUGACUGCGAGCGUGACGGCGCGAGCAGGUGCGAAAGCAGGUCAUAGUGAUCCGGUGGUUCUGAAUGGAAGGGCCAUCGCUCAACGGAUAAAAGGUACUCCGGGGAUAACAGGCUGAUACCGCCCAAGAGUUCAUAUCGACGGCGGUGUUUGGCACCUCGAUGUCGGCUCAUCACAUCCUGGGGCUGAAGUAGGUCCCAAGGGUAUGGCUGUUCGCCAUUUAAAGUGGUACGCGAGCUGGGUUUAGAACGUCGUGAGACAGUUCGGUCCCUAUCUGCCGUGGGCGCUGGAGAACUGAGGGGGGCUGCUCCUAGUACGAGAGGACCGGAGUGGACGCAUCACUGGUGUUCGGGUUGUCAUGCCAAUGGCACUGCCCGGUAGCUAAAUGCGGAAGAGAUAAGUGCUGAAAGCAUCUAAGCACGAAACUUGCCCCGAGAUGAGUUCUCCCUGACCCUUUAAGGGUCCUUAAGGAACGUUGAAGACGACGACGUUGAUAGGCCGGGUGUGUAAGCGCAGCGAUGCGUUGAGCUAACCGGUACUAAUGAACCGUGAGGCUUAACCUUACAACGCCGAAGGUGUUU
RNAcentral lists this ribosomal RNA (2931 nucleotides) under Escherichia coli. RNAcentral describes it as "23S ribosomal RNA". It matches the Rfam family "Bacterial large subunit ribosomal RNA". Lineage: Bacteria; Pseudomonadati; Pseudomonadota; Gammaproteobacteria; Enterobacterales; Enterobacteriaceae. The record is from RNAcentral.